AUGAACGCUAGCGGGAGGCUUAACACAUGCAAGUCGAGGGGCAGCAUUUCUAGCUUGCUAGAAGAUGGCGACCGGCGGACGGGUGCGUAACGCGUAUGCAACUUGCCUAUAACUAAGGGAUAACUCAGAGAAAUUUGCGCUAAUACCUUAUGUGAUCAUAAUGACGCAUGUUAUAAUGAUUAAAGAAUUUCGGUUAUAGAUAGGCAUGCGUCCUAUUAGCUAGUUGGUAAGGUAACGGCUUACCAAGGCGACGAUAGGUAGGGGCCUGAGAGGGUGAUCCCCCACACUGGUACUGAGACACGGACCAGACUCCUACGGGAGGCAGCAGUGAGGAAUAUUGGUCAAUGGAGGCAACUCUGAACCAGCCAUCCCGCGUGAAGGAUUGAAGGCGCUCGACGUCGUAAACUUCUUUUAUAUAGGAAUAACCGUAAGUACGUGUACUUACCUGAAUGUACUAUAUGAAUAAGCAUCGGCUAACUCCGUG
This 484-nucleotide ribosomal RNA is filed under the name uncultured bacterium. Its description in RNAcentral is "bacterial SSU rRNA". It matches the Rfam family "Bacterial small subunit ribosomal RNA", at positions 29 to 507 of the family's 1533-position model. The record is from RNAcentral.